CAAUGUUGGAAACGAAGUUGGAUUUGCUCCUAACAUCCAGGUUAACCAUAGUUCUUGCGGCUUCUCCGGCAUUGCACCACCGCCUCCAAACAGACCCCAGUUAUGGAUCUUGUGAUUACCCAUCUUCCACAAGGAACAGAAACAUUUGGUCAAGUUUCUUGCUCUGCAUCUGCGAUUACGUCAGCAAUGUUUAAGUUAUCCUUUCUCAGUGCAGGGAAUAAAAAAAAAAACAAAAAGUCCAAACAAUUCAGUCGAAGAAUACUCGCAGAGAGAGAGACCUAAUGGAGGAAGGGCUCAACGGAAAGGAGUACUUGCUCAAGGUGGUGCUGAUAGGCGACUGAGAUCUGGGACACCGCCAGCCAAGAACGCUUCAGGGCCGUCACCUCUGCUCACUCUCUCUCAAAGCCCUAAUCUUUAACCAUCGGCCGUCACCUCUGCUCACUCUCUCUCAAAGCCCUAAUCUUUAACCCUAAAAAAUCCCCAAAUCUCUUCAUCUCCUUUCCCCCGCACGUACAACGAUGGCUCUAAUGAGACCCUAAUCCGGAAACCAACCCCC
Molecule: long non-coding RNA, 556 nt
Filed under: Malus domestica (apple)
Lineage: Eukaryota; Viridiplantae; Streptophyta; Magnoliopsida; Rosales; Rosaceae
Description: long non-coding RNA (MDOM_LNC013239)
Source: RNAcentral